This 64-nucleotide transfer RNA is filed under the name Ctenochauliodes griseus. Its description in RNAcentral is "tRNA-Leu". It matches the Rfam family "tRNA". Rfam says of the family: Transfer RNA (tRNA) molecules are approximately 80 nucleotides in length. Their secondary structure includes four short double-helical elements and three loops (D, anti-codon, and T loops). Further hydrogen bonds mediate the characteristic L-shaped molecular structure. tRNAs have two regions of fundamental functional importance: the anti-codon, which is responsible for specific mRNA codon recognition, and the 3' end, to which the tRNAs corresponding amino acid is attached (by aminoacyl-tRNA synthetases). tRNAs cope with the degeneracy of the genetic code in two manners: having more than one tRNA (with a specific anti-codon) for a particular amino acid; and 'wobble' base-pairing, i.e. permitting non-standard base-pairing at the 3rd anti-codon position. Lineage: Eukaryota; Metazoa; Arthropoda; Insecta; Megaloptera; Corydalidae. The record is from RNAcentral.
AUUAUUUUGGCAGAAUAGUGCAUUGAAUUUAGAAUUCAAAUAUGUAAAUAAGUUACAGAUAAUA